UUUUGGGAGGUUCGAAGACGAUCAGAUACCGUCGUAGUUCCGACCGUAAACGAUGCCGACCCGCAAUCCGGCGGCGUUAUUCCCAUGACCCGCCGAGCAGCGUGAGGGAAACCAAGAGUCUUUGGGUUCCGGGGGGAGUAUGGUUGCAAAGCUGAAACUUAAAGGAAUUGACGGAAGGGCACCACCAGGAGUGGAGCCUGCGGCUUAAUUUGACUCAACACGGGAAACCUCACCCGGCCCGGACACGGAAAGGAUUGACAGAUUGAUAGCUCUUUCUCGAUUCUGUGGGUGGUGGUGCAUGGCCGUUCUUAGUUGGUGGAGCGAUUUGUCUGGUUCAUUCCGAUAACGAACGAGACUCCGGCUUGCUAAAUAGUUACGCGGCCCCGUGCGGUCGGCGUUCAACUUCUUAGAAGGACAAGUGGCGUUCAGCCACGCGAGAUGGAGCAAUAACAGGUCUGUGAUGCCCUUAGAUGUCCGGGGCUGCACGCGCGCCACAAUGGGUGGAUCAGCGUGUGUCUACCCA
RNAcentral lists this ribosomal RNA (523 nucleotides) under Puntius sophore (pool barb). RNAcentral's name for it is "SSU rRNA". It matches the Rfam family "Eukaryotic small subunit ribosomal RNA", at positions 985 to 1529 of the family's 1831-position model. The record is from RNAcentral. Lineage: Eukaryota; Metazoa; Chordata; Actinopteri; Cypriniformes; Cyprinidae.